AUUGAACGCUGGCGGAAUGCUUUACACAUGCAAGUCGAACGGCAGCACGGACUUCGGUCUGGUGGCGAGUGGCGAACGGGUGAGUAAUACAUCGGAACGUGCCCAGUCGUGGGGGAUAACGUAGCGAAAGCUACGCUAAUACCGCAUACGAUCUACGGAUGAAAGCGGGGGAUCGCAAGACCUUGCGCGAUUGGAGCGGCCGAUGGCAGAUUAGGUAGUUGGUGGGGUAAAGGCCCACCAAGCCGACGAUCUGUAGCUGGUCUGAGAGGACGACCAGCCACACUGGGACUUAGACACGGCCCAGACUCCUACGGGAGGCAGCAGUGGGGAAUUUUGGACAAUGGGCGCAAGCCUGAUCCAGCCAUUCCGCGUGCAGGAUGAAGGCCCUCGGGUUGUAAACUGCUUUUGUACAGAACGAAAAGGCUCUGGUUAAUACCUGGGGCUCAUGACGGUACUGUAAGAAUAAGCACCGGCUAACUACGUGCCAGCCGCCGCCGUAA
This 500-nucleotide ribosomal RNA is filed under the name uncultured bacterium. RNAcentral's name for it is "partial 16S ribosomal RNA". It matches the Rfam family "Bacterial small subunit ribosomal RNA", at positions 30 to 523 of the family's 1533-position model. The record is from RNAcentral.